AGAAGAGUGGUCAACUUGCUUAGGAGAGGGAGUUUCCUUACCAAGAGUUCCCCCCACUGAUAUCUCUAGACCAAAAGCGGCAAUAAGGACCACUCUGCUAGACCUUUCAGUACCAUCGUUCAGUCAUCAGUAUGUUUGUGUACAAUAACUCCUAUAGAAGUGCUUGCCAGUGUAACAUUAUUUCUAAAGAUCAAGGGUCAUAGACAAGACUCCAACAAAGAGCAGGAUAAGAAUUAGCAUGCCGGCAGAAGAGAAGGAAGGGAAGCCAGAGGAAGUGCCUGUUCCUAGCACCGACUUCUCUGCAGCUAGUGGACAAAAAGCCCUUAUUCCCCCCUCCCCCCGCCCCAUCCCCACAGAUGUCCAAAAAUAAAUAAAUAAAUAAAGACAGG
RNAcentral lists this long non-coding RNA (389 nucleotides) under Monodelphis domestica (gray short-tailed opossum). Its description in RNAcentral is "lncRNA (ENSMODG00000032468.2)". The record is from RNAcentral. Lineage: Eukaryota; Metazoa; Chordata; Mammalia; Didelphimorphia; Didelphidae.